Molecule: ribosomal RNA, 249 nt
Filed under: uncultured bacterium
Lineage: Bacteria
Description: partial 16S ribosomal RNA
Rfam family: Bacterial small subunit ribosomal RNA
Source: RNAcentral
UACGUAGGGUGCAAGCGUUAAUCGGAAUUACUGGGCGUAAAGCGUGCGCAGGCGGUUUUGUAAGUUUGUCGUGAAAUCCCCGGGCUCAACCUGGGAAUGGCGAUGAAGACUGCAAGGCUAGAAUCUGGCAGAGGGGGGUAGAAUUCCACGUGUAGCAGUGAAAUGCGUAGAGAUGUGGAGGAACACCGAUGGCGAAGGCAGCCCCUGGGUCAGACUGACGCUACAUGCACGAAGCGUGGGAGCAACAGG